RNAcentral lists this ribosomal RNA (495 nucleotides) under uncultured Glomeromycotina. Its description in RNAcentral is "partial small subunit ribosomal RNA". It matches the Rfam family "Eukaryotic small subunit ribosomal RNA", at positions 591 to 1092 of the family's 1831-position model. Lineage: Eukaryota; Fungi; Glomeromycota. The record is from RNAcentral.
CCAAUAGCGUAUAUUAAAGUUGUUGCAGCUAAAAAGCUCGUAGUUGAAUUUCGGGGUUCUACCGUUGGUCGGGCUUUGUCUGUACUGGCGUGUAGAGUUUCUACCUUCUGGGGAACCAUCAUGUUAUUAAUUUAACGUGGUGGGAAACCAGGACCUUUACCUUGAAAAAAUUAGAGUGUUCAAAGCAGGCUUAUGUCGGAAUACAUUAGCAUGGAAUAAUAAAAUAGGACGGUGGUCCUGUUUUGUUGGUUUCUGAAUCACCGUAAUGAUUAAUAGGGAUAGUUGGGGGCAUUAGUAUUCAAUUGCCAGAGGUGAAAUUCUUGGAUUUAUUGAAGACUAACUUCUGCGAAAGCAUUUGCCAAGGAUGUUUUCAUUAAUCAAGAACGAAAGUUAGGGGAUCGAAGACGAUCAGAUACCGUCGUAGUCUUAACCAUAAACUAUGCCGACUAGGGAUCGGACGAUGUUAAUUUUUCUUGACCCGUUCGGCGCCUUACG